Molecule: long non-coding RNA, 296 nt
Filed under: Ricinus communis (castor bean)
Lineage: Eukaryota; Viridiplantae; Streptophyta; Magnoliopsida; Malpighiales; Euphorbiaceae
Description: long non-coding RNA (RCOM_LNC002858)
Source: RNAcentral
AUUGUAUUGGUAACUUACCAACACAAACAAUUAACAAUUAUUAAUUAUAUUAAUUAUAAUUAAUAUAGAUCAACAUAUAUAAAUAGGUUUGGAUCAACUCGUUAUGAGCGAUCCGAUCCAAAUUCCAACAAUAAUUAUUUAUUUUUAGAUAAAAAAACUUAUAUAAUAGAAUAAUGAUUCAAUACUGAAACAAUUACUUGCUAAUUAAUUUAAAAUUGUUGAAUAAGUAUCUUACAUUAAUGUAAAAAAUUAUAAAUUCCUAAUUCAUAAGCCAUGAAAUCUCUUAUAACUAUAAA